This 59-nucleotide transfer RNA is filed under the name Salmo salar (Atlantic salmon). It matches the Rfam family "tRNA", at positions 8 to 63 of the family's 71-position model. Rfam says of the family: Transfer RNA (tRNA) molecules are approximately 80 nucleotides in length. The record is from Rfam by way of RNAcentral. Lineage: Eukaryota; Metazoa; Chordata; Actinopteri; Salmoniformes; Salmonidae.
UGGCUCAGUUGGUCGAGCAAUGGCGCUUGCAAUGCCAGGUUUGUGGGUUCGAUUCCCAU